AUCAUGUUGAGGGAGAGGUUGUUGUCCUGGCACCAGAAGGCCAGGUCUCUGACCUCCUCCCUAUAGGCUGUCUCGUUGUCGGUGAUCAGGCCUACCACUGUUGUGUCAUCAGCAAUUUGUUGAUGAAAGAGCAAAUAUGUCUCUCACUCGCCCCAUGUAUGCGUCUUACAGAUAUUUCCAUGUUUAUAAUGUACUUGAAUGAUAGCAGCCACUGCUGUCUGCUUAAAGAAUGAGGGGCCUGCCAAUGUGAAGCGAUACUUUUUUUGACUGCUGUUAAUCCAGCCAGCCAAAUACUUUGCUGUUUGACAGAUAUAAAAUAGUGUAAUCAUUUAACAACAAAAUAGAUUGUGAACAUGGUACAUUUCUACCCAUUAUGACAGAAAGACUGGAUGAAACACAACUCCAGAAAUGUAAAACCCCUGGGCACUCCCAAACCACAUGAAAAAAUGCCCCAGGAGCCCCCUGAGGACACAGUGAGCAAUUUGGGGUCUGUCUAGCUGUCAUUUGAAAUAGUUUGCAUGUUGUGCAGUAAGUUCUAUGGGCCAAAUUGUAAUGUAUCAUUUGGUGGUUGGGGUUUCUUGAUGAAAUUGAUAUGUUGGACCAAACUCUGGUUCAAUUAGUUACAGUAUUACAUACGGAAAUGUCUUUCUUCCAUGACACGUGGGAAGGGAUUGGUUUAUGAGUAAUUUUACGUAGCAGAGAAUGUAAUUUAGAGACCAGUCCCUGUGUACUACUAUGCAUAAAUAAUUUGUGGAUAGGAUGGAUAGACCAUUCUUGCACCCAAGGGACUCCAUAAGCAUCCAAAGCAGAACGGAGAAAAAGGAAGUGCCAGGUACGUUAAAUUGCUUCUGUGAGUAUUGAGUAUUGCAGUUGCUAUUUGUUUGGAGGUGUGGAGGGGGGUUGGAUGCAGUUUUCGGUUAGGAUUGGUAUAGUGAUGACUGAAUCAAGGCCUCUGCAACUCAGGCACCAAUUCCCAUUUAUUAACAAGGCUCAGUCUUGCCAUCAAACUUAUUUUCUUAUCCCUCUCUUCUUCUCCUCAUUCUAUCACUCUACCUAUUCACUCUUCAGCCUCCAUGAUGAACAUGUCUACCGCAACCAUCGCUAUCAUUGGAGGGGUCCUAGUUUGGGUCCUGGUCCUGAGAAUUGUCAUCUACUAAUGCUGGAAGAAGAGGAACAAAGCUAAGCAGGAGAAUGUUAAAGGAGCUCCAGAAGCAGUGGAGUUCCAUGACACGCCCACUCUCAAUGUUGGGAUUCGCAGAGCUACGCCUCCCCUGGCUCAGGCAAUCCCUCUGUCAAACACACGCACAACCAGCAAGACAAAGGAGCUGAUCAUGGACUACAGGAAACAGAGGGCCGAGCACGCCAUCCACAUCGACAGGGAUGUAGUGGAGCGGGUCAAGAGCUUCAAGUUCCU
This is a non-coding RNA of Salmo salar (Atlantic salmon), 1414 nucleotides long. Lineage: Eukaryota; Metazoa; Chordata; Actinopteri; Salmoniformes; Salmonidae. The record is from RefSeq and is a predicted model, not a curated record.